UACGAAGGGUGCAAGCGUUACUCGGAAUUACUGGGCGUAAAGCGUGCGUAGGUGGUGAGUUAAGUCUGUCGUGAAAGCCCCGGGCUCAACCUGGGAAUGGCGAUGGAUACUGGCUCGCUAGAGUGCGGUAGAGGAGAGUGGAAUUCCCGGUGUAGAGGUGAAAUUCGUAGAUAUCGGGAGGAACACCAGAGGCGAAGGCGGCGACCUGGAACGUGACUGACACUGAGCAGCGAAAGCGUGGGGAGCAAACAGG
RNAcentral lists this ribosomal RNA (253 nucleotides) under uncultured bacterium. RNAcentral describes it as "partial 16S ribosomal RNA". It matches the Rfam family "Bacterial small subunit ribosomal RNA", at positions 524 to 776 of the family's 1533-position model. The record is from RNAcentral.